This 253-nucleotide ribosomal RNA is filed under the name uncultured bacterium. RNAcentral describes it as "partial 16S ribosomal RNA". It matches the Rfam family "Bacterial small subunit ribosomal RNA", at positions 524 to 776 of the family's 1533-position model. The record is from RNAcentral.
UACGUAGGGCGCAAGCGUUAUCCGGAAUUAUUGGGCGUAAAGCGCGCGCAGGCGGCCUUUUAAGUCUGAUGUGAAAGCCCACGGCUUAACCGUGGAAGGUCAUUGGAAACUGGAAGGCUUGAGUACAGAAGAGGAAAGCGGAAUUCCACGUGUAGCGGUGAAAUGCGUAGAGAUGUGGAGGAACACCAGUGGCGAAGGCGGCUUUCUGGUCUGUAACUGACGCUGAGGCGCGAAAGCGUGGGGAGCAAACAGG